CAAUAGCGUAUAUUAAAGUUGUUGCAGUUAAAAGCUCGUAGUUGGAUUUCUGGCAGGAGUGACCGGUCAUGCACUAUGUGCGUGAACUUGUGUUGUCUCUGGCCAUCCUUGGGGAGAUCCUGUUUGGCAUUAAGUUGUCGGGCAGGGGAUACCCAUCGUUUACUGUGAAAAAUUAGAGUGUUUAAAGCAGGCUUAUGCCGUUGAAUAUAUUAGCAUGGAAUAAUAAGAUAGGACUUCGGAACUAUUUUGUUGGUUUGCGUUACGAAGUAAUGAUUAAUAGGGACAGUUGGGGGUAUUCGUAUUUCAUUGUCAGAGGUGAAAUUCUUGGAUUUAUGAAAGACGAACUUCUGCGAAAGCAUUUGCCAAGGAUGUUUUCAUUAAUCAAGAACGAAAGUUGGGGGCUCGAAGACGAUUAGAUACCGU
This 423-nucleotide ribosomal RNA is filed under the name uncultured eukaryote. Its description in RNAcentral is "SSU rRNA". It matches the Rfam family "Eukaryotic small subunit ribosomal RNA", at positions 592 to 1018 of the family's 1831-position model. The record is from RNAcentral.